RNAcentral lists this long non-coding RNA (309 nucleotides) under Citrus sinensis (sweet orange). RNAcentral's name for it is "long non-coding RNA (CSIN_LNC003240)". Lineage: Eukaryota; Viridiplantae; Streptophyta; Magnoliopsida; Sapindales; Rutaceae. The record is from RNAcentral.
AUAUCUGUUCUUGCAAAGAGCUUGUCAAGUGUGUCAAAAAUGAUUUCAUCCAUUUCUGAAAAUGCCUCAGCUAAAGAAGGUGACUCUUCUCUGCCUUCAACGACGUUUCUUGGGCCGUAAGUUUCCUCUCCGAUGCCUGAGCUGACCAUGUUCUUUAACAGAAACCUGUAUUCUUCAAGCCCCAGUUUCUUGUUUCUCCAAACAACUCUUGCACAGGAUUCAGUGUCAAGCCUCCUGGUUUCAUCACAUGGCUUGUAGCACUCAUAAGCAAGCAUAUAGCAGCAUUGGCCUCUUUUCUGAAGAACCCAC